This 263-nucleotide long non-coding RNA is filed under the name Lathyrus oleraceus (garden pea). RNAcentral describes it as "Pisum sativum (pea) long non-coding RNA (PSAT_LNC039603)". Lineage: Eukaryota; Viridiplantae; Streptophyta; Magnoliopsida; Fabales; Fabaceae. The record is from RNAcentral.
UUUUUUGUUAUUACCCCUGAGCCUUUUUGGCCAUCCUUUUUAUUAUUAUCCAUUGUUAACCCCAUUUGAUCCUUUAUCCAUUUGUUUGUUUUAAAAACCACAUCAUAUUAACCCAUGACACAAACACUUCCCCACCAUGUUCAGAAUAUUAAUGUGAGUUAUCAGAUCUAUGUUCAUUCUAAGCUUGGGGUUCCUGUUGGGAUAACAACCUUUAAGUUUGGGGUAGUUGCGGCGUUAGUACAAAUGAGGGCACCUGGUGAUUG